AUUGUUUUCUUUCUGGGUCUUGCAGCCUGAUCUCUGAAGUCACUAAGUACAUUUUGAACUUAACGUGGAAAAAAAAAAAAACUAUUCCAAGACCAUUCUCUCCCAAUUCCAGCAUACCUUAUGCUAGUGGGUACACCCAGACAGGCUGUUCUGUCAGGGGCAUUUUUCUAAUUGUGAUUUUGAUUGUCAUAGCAUUUACUCUGACUUCAUGGCACUCUGUUGGAACCUUCUCUCUACACAAAGUCACUGAAGGAUGGGGAAAUGGAGUUUCCUUUUCCCUCUAUGUGUUCCAGAAUGACAGCUCCCAUGGGUAGAGCAGGGGCACCCUCAUUGUUUCAGUUCACUUUAACUACCAGGUGAGUGGGAAGAUGAGCCUGUCGCACUGAACACAAGCAGGUAGGAAAAGCAAGCAGCUCUCUGAAGGAUAUUUGGAGCUAUUGCAAACCCUCUCCUCAUCUGCGCCUGCCGUGCACCAGCCCACUGUCUCGGCAAGGCUCCAGCUGGCGCUCGGAUCUCUCUCGCAAGCGCUGCGCACACCUCAGACGACGUGGCUUUGAUCACGACUUCAUGGCACUGAGUAUAAAGCCAUAACAACCCACACCUGCAGGAUCUCCUCUUCUUCCCACGUACGUCACCAGCCGCAGUCCCACUGAUGUCUAUGGGAGUAGGAUCAGAUGUCUGUGCUCCAGCUUCUCAGAGAAUGUGCCCAGCUUUGCAAACAGAUGUCUCGAACACCUUGGAGUAUGCCCAUUCUCACUCCUGGUCCUUCUUCUUUCCAACCAGUAAUUGUUCCAGCAUCCAAAGAGAUAAAAAGGCAUUAAAGACUACCUUUCCGCGCACAAUGACAUAUGUCUUGAGACCGCUGAUGGCAAGCCGGGACUGGAAGGGAACACCUGCUUCCUACAGGCCAGGCCCCCACUUCGACAAGUGCAUUGCGUCUUCCACACAGUGACGAACUUCUUAAAGAAAGUUAUAUUUGCUGAAGAUAAACUCUUUUUGCCAAGUAAGUCCAUUAAAAAGUGAACAGAACUCUCAUUGCAGUUCCCAGUGAGCUUCUGAAGAGCAUUACAUUUUUCCCCAAUGCUAGUGGGGACAUGGUGUUUUUUUUUUGGGGGGGGGGGAGUGCUGAUGCAGUCAGGUAGGUAGCCUAUGUCUGUGCCAGAGCACCUUUAAUCUGUGUUACCCCAGAUUUUGUGACAAAAUAUGAGAAUGUGGGGCACUGAGCUCCUGAAGUGUGGCUUGUCUUUGGGGCUGGAGCCUCAUAUCUCUGCAGACAUUUAGGGAGACAUAGAUCUGGUGCAAAUGGAAAUCAGAAGAAUAUAAUGCAUUGGAAAAGACUGGCUCUAAUACUGCCUAAGUUGUAGUGAUACCCCUGAGGGCUGUACAGGACACCUCCUAUGCAUCCAGUGCACCAAGGCAGUGGCAGCAUGGGCCUGACACAUUCUCUGCACUGGAAGAAAUAAGGUUCAGAAAGAUUUUGCCAGCAGAAGUAAGACUGGUUGGAAUAGACCCCUCUAUGCCCAAGGAAAGAGCUACCUCUGCUACAGACCAUAUUUAAUUUAAAUGUUGUUAGCAAUGUGUAUAUUACAUUUGUACACUAUAUCAUAGCAUGGUACUAUGAAUAAAUAUGAAGACAUAAACA
Molecule: long non-coding RNA, 1642 nt
Filed under: Anas platyrhynchos platyrhynchos (common mallard)
Lineage: Eukaryota; Metazoa; Chordata; Aves; Anseriformes; Anatidae
Description: lncRNA (ENSAPLG00000017866.1)
Source: RNAcentral